UCCAGCCCAGGGGUUGAACCCACACUUUCUGCAUUGGCAGGUGUCUUCUGAUUGUCAAAAAUUGUGCACUUCCUCCACUUGGCAUGAACAAAAAUGGCGGUGAUGUUGAAGCGAUUUUGGCCUUGCUUGACCAAGAUCUGACAGAGGAAGAGUGGAUGCAGUUGUAUAUGGGGAGGAUACAAACUGCAAUCAAAAGCAACAGUGAACAGCCUGAAAAUGAAGUCUUCAGGGGCAGAAAGAGAAGCACUCUGUGCAAUUUUGCUGGGCUUGCCAGCGAUGCAAGGGUUGCAGGUAAGUCUGACUCUAGUUUUGAAAGGGCGUGCAUGUUCAGGGAGGUUUGUAGAUUGUUUUUGUGCCUGCAAAGAAUCAUGUGCUAGGAAAACACAUGGGGCUAGGCGGGAAGGCAUCCCGUGCUGCGUCAAGCCGUCCACACCGGCCACGCCAGCAUGGCAGAUGGAGCCUCAAGCUUUACAUCAGGCACAUGUUAGCUACCUGCCUGCCCUGAUUGACUCAGACAAGGAUGAGCUGUUAAAAGGUGACCUUUUCCUGUCUUUCUUGCACCCUGUCUCCUCUGCCUCCCACCACCCCAACCUCCGAGGAGUAAGCCUCACCUCUGCCAUCAGCGCCACUCAGCCUCCCAGGGAACUGGCUGACCUUUCAAUGCUGGCAGAUUGGAAUUUCACAAUAUGACAGAACAUUAAGCAAAGUGAAAAUAUGUAUGUCGGCUCACAUACAGGGACCUGCCCAGUUUUGCAAGAUCAGUUGGCUACUGCUCACAUUUUAAGUUGCGGUGUGCAGGCUUCUCACUGCAGUGGUUUCUCAGGUUGCAGAGCCAUGCAGGCUUCAGUGAGUGCAGUCCCCGGGCCCGAGAACACAGGGCCCGUAGUUGUGG
Molecule: non-coding RNA, 892 nt
Organism: Odocoileus virginianus texanus
Lineage: Eukaryota; Metazoa; Chordata; Mammalia; Artiodactyla; Cervidae
Source: RefSeq, a predicted model, not a curated record